GCUUCCACCAAUCCUGUUCAUAGAUGCAGUGUAAAUGAAAGGGAGGAGAUGAGGAAAGGCAGCCACUUUAGCCUGUUGAGAUUCAUCCUAAACCUGAAUAGAGCUUCACCCCGAGGCUCUGGCCAUGAUCGUGACUACACCAUGAGGAGUGGGGACUGCUGAGGACUGCUGCUCUGAAGCGAAGCACCGAAGAACAGACUCACGCCUUGGUGAGCAGCAAUGCAUGUGGACAUAACUAACUAUUUUCACAGAAGUGUUUUAAUUUGGAGUUUACUGGACUCCAGUGUAAAUUGCUUUCUCGGUUGCUAUGGUGCCAUUGAGGUGGAUUGUUGUACGCUGUCAGGGCGGCCUGGCUGCGUUGGACCGGGCUGUGAGGUGGUGGUGGUCUCUGGGUGCUGGUCUAGGCAGAGAGGCAGAGGCAGGAGGAACCUGCAGUGGAGCUGAUGCCCGUGCCUGGCCUUGCCCGGGGGGCGAAGAGGGCCGAGUAGAUAGCAGUUGAGACACUCUGCCCUACAGACACUGGUAGGAGGCAGCCUCUGCAAUGGACAUAGGACAGGUGAGGAAUGGAUGAGGGGGGACGACACACAGAUAUACCCUGAGUGGACAAAACAUGACAUAGACUGACCAGGUGCAUCUUGGUGAAAGCUAUGAUCCCUUAUUGAUGUCACUUGUUAAAUCCACUUCAAUCAGUGUGCAUGAAGGGGAGGAGACAGAUUAAAGAAGGAUGUUUAAGCCUUGAGACAAUUGAGACAUGGAUUGUGAAUGUGUGCCAUUCAGAGGGUGAAUGAACAAGAUAAAAGAUGUCAGUGACUUUGAACAGGUUAUGGUAGUAGGUGCCAGGUGCAAUGGUUUGUGUCAAGAACUGAAACGCUCCUGGGUUUUUCACGCUCAACAGUUUCCUGUGUGUAUCAACAAUAGUUCACCACCCAAAGGACAUCCAGCCAACUUGACACAACUGAGGGAAGCAUUGGAAUCAACAUGGGCCAGCAUCCCUGUGGAACUUAUUUCGCCACCUUGUAGAGUCCAUGCCCCGACGAAUUGAGGCUGUUCUGAGGGCA
Molecule: long non-coding RNA, 1058 nt
Organism: Oncorhynchus tshawytscha (Chinook salmon)
Lineage: Eukaryota; Metazoa; Chordata; Actinopteri; Salmoniformes; Salmonidae
Source: Ensembl